RNAcentral lists this ribosomal RNA (253 nucleotides) under uncultured bacterium. RNAcentral's name for it is "partial 16S ribosomal RNA". It matches the Rfam family "Bacterial small subunit ribosomal RNA", at positions 524 to 776 of the family's 1533-position model. The record is from RNAcentral.
UACGUAGGGGGCAAGCGUUGUCCGGAAUCAUUGGGCGUAAAGCGCGCGUAGGCGGCUAGAUCAGUCUGCUGUAAAAGUCAAAGGCUCAACCUUUGAAAGCCGGUGGAUACUGUCUAGCUAGAGUCCGGAAGAGGCGAGUGGAAUUCCUGGUGUAGCGGUGAAAUGCGCAGAUAUCAGGAGGAACACCAAUUGCGAAGGCAGCUCGCUGGGACGUAACUGACGCUGAGACGCGAAAGCGUGGGGAGCAAACAGG